Hyaena hyaena (striped hyena) is the source of this 650-nucleotide long non-coding RNA. RefSeq lists it as uncharacterized. NCBI's taxonomy places the organism in Eukaryota, Metazoa, Chordata, Mammalia, Carnivora, Hyaenidae. The transcript has 3 exons. The record is from RefSeq and is a predicted model, not a curated record.
GUGAACUCUCCAGCUCCCCACCUAGGACUGGUCACAGACCUAGGGAAGAUGUCACCACCCAUCUCCAGACUCUGCGACCAGAGACCUUCUGAAACCAGACCACCAGGAUUCCUCACCACAUCCUUCCGUGGCUCUUUUGACCAUGAAUGGAGAAGCAGAAGAGCAGCCCAGCCCCCAGACGUGACCUGGUUCCGUAACCUGAACCACCUCCCCUCUGCCAAGGACAGCGCCCACCAUCAGAAGCCUGCAUCCCAGGGCUCGGGCAUUGCCAGCAAAGAGUUGGGAAAACCUAAAUAUCUCUCAGAAGGAAACUGGCUACACACAAUGGAAUACCAUUAUUCCAUUAAAGGCGAUUGAAGGUGAUGUCAGAGAUCUACAUACCUUGAUGUGAAACGUGUCCUCCAAAUACAGCAUUGGGCUCAUCACUUAAAAUGGUCGAGGGAGGAGGCACCCACCCAUGCUGGGUCUUCUCACGCGUGGAGUGAGUCAGCACCGACCACAGGCACUCGGAGCCUCUUCUGAUGGAGUGGGUUUACAGAAGCCAUCCCUCCUCCCUUGUGCUCACAUGCACAAGCUUAGGGAUCAUGGAGUUCUCAUUCCUUCAAUAUUCACUUGGUCAGUAUUUACUGAUGCUCAUGUGUCUCAAGAUA